This 544-nucleotide ribosomal RNA is filed under the name uncultured bacterium. Its description in RNAcentral is "bacterial SSU rRNA". It matches the Rfam family "Bacterial small subunit ribosomal RNA", at positions 358 to 917 of the family's 1533-position model. The record is from RNAcentral.
GGAAUCUUGCGCAAUGGGCGAAAGCCUGACGCAGCAACGCCGCGUGCGGGAUGAAGGCCUUCGGGCUGUAAACCGCUUUCAGCAGGAACGAAAAUGACGGUACCUGCAGAAGAAGGAGCGGCCAACUACGUGCCAGCAGCCGCGGUGACACGUAGGCUCCAAGCGUUGUCCGGAUUUAUUGGGCGUAAGAGCUCGUAGGCGGUUGAGUAAGUCGGGUGUGAAAACUCUGGGCUUAACCCGGAGACGCCAUCCGAUACUGCUCUGACUUGAGUUCAGGAGGGGAGUGGGGAAUUCCUAGUGUAGCGGUGAAAUGCGCAGAUAUUAGGAGGAACACCGGUGGCGAAGGCGCCACUCUGGACUGAAACUGACGCUGAGGAGCGAAAGCAUGGGUAGCAAACAGGAUUAGAUACCCUGGUAGUCCAUGCCGUAAACGGUGGGCACUAGGUGUGGGUUCCAACUAACGGGAUCCGCGCCGUCGCUAACGCAUUAAGUGCCCCGCCUGGGGAGUACGGUCGCAAGACUAAAACUCAAAGGAAUUGACGGA